RNAcentral lists this non-coding RNA (23 nucleotides) under Cricetulus griseus (Chinese hamster). Lineage: Eukaryota; Metazoa; Chordata; Mammalia; Rodentia; Cricetidae. The record is from RNAcentral.
UUAGAAGUUGGAAGUGGAAAGUU